GAAGGUGCUUGCACCUGAUUGACUCAAUUGAAUCACUAGUGGCGGACGGGUGAGUAACGGCUGGGUAACCUGACCUCACACAGGGGGAUAACAGUUGGAAACGACUGUUAAUACCGCAUAAGCGCACAGUACCGCAUGGUACAGUGUGAAAAACUCCGGUGGUGUGAGAUGGACCCGCGUCUGAUUAGCUAGUUGGCGAGGUAAGGCCCACCAAGGCAACGAUCAGUAGCCGGCCUGAGAGGGUGUACGGCCACAUUGGGACUGAGACACGGCCCAAACUCCUACGGGAGGCAGCAGUGGGGAAUAUUGGACAAUGGGGGAAACCCUGAUCCAGCCGACGCCGCGUGAGUGAUGAAGUAUUUCGGUAUGUAAAGCUCUAUCAGCAGGGAAGAAAUUGACGGUACCUGACUAAGAAGCACCGGCUAAAUACGUGCCAGCCGCCGC
RNAcentral lists this ribosomal RNA (444 nucleotides) under uncultured bacterium. Its description in RNAcentral is "bacterial SSU rRNA". It matches the Rfam family "Bacterial small subunit ribosomal RNA", at positions 64 to 518 of the family's 1533-position model. The record is from RNAcentral.